This is a long non-coding RNA of Helianthus annuus (common sunflower), 2435 nucleotides long. RefSeq lists it as uncharacterized. The record is from RefSeq and is a predicted model, not a curated record. NCBI's taxonomy places the organism in Eukaryota, Viridiplantae, Streptophyta, Magnoliopsida, Asterales, Asteraceae. The transcript is spliced from 5 exons.
UUGGAUGGUCGUUAGAGAAAAGGAUAAAGAGUGUGCAAAAUUGGUAUAUAAAGAACAUGCAGUGAACAUUUUAAAGACAAAGGAUAGAGUGAAAUUUUGUGUAUUAAUAAACGACAAGCUGUGUAAUUAACUCAAGAAAGAUUCUUAAACUUUGAAUAUGCCUUUUUAUUUUUGAAUCUUACGUAAUUUGUUUCAAAAACAGAAAAACCGAACCGAACCGUUGCUAAAAUCGUGAUGGGGUAUGGUAUUGGACCCGACCCAAAUGAUCGGAUAUUUUCAUUACUUAUUGCCUUUUAUUGUUUUGUUAUUUAUUAUUACGUACUAACCCGCGAAGUCCAACGCGAUAUAGUUUACACUACACUAGGUUGUGGGCUUGUAGAGACAACCCCUAACUGGGCCUGACCCAUUGAGGUUAGGGUUGCCCAUGUCUCCUAUAUAAGGAGGUCUUCAUCUCAUUAUUAGGGCAAGAGAUAUAGAGCAACACACUUUUUGUAGCUAGAAAAAUGGAAUCCUUUCCCUACUGGCUGUCUCUACAUUCCCACUUUCCUUUUUUUUUCUUUCUUUUUUUUUUUUUUUUUUUUUGCAGAUCUGGAUUCGAAGAGAAGAAGCAAGUUGUGAUUCUCCAUCCUCUCAGAGAAAGCGGUUCGACUCCGUGUUUCUUCAGCGGCGCCCACCGUAUCAAAAUCUAGAUUCAAGAAUCACAACUCGUUUCUUCUCCACUUCACCUUUCAGAUUUGUUUCUUUUUUUAGUUUACUCAUGAUUCUCGAUCUGAAACUCCAGAUCUAGUUUUUCCUUUAAUAUAUAUAUAUAUAUGGGUGGGAGUUGGCUACAAAGUCUAUUUUUCCUACAAAGUGUAAAAAGUCAUAAAUCACCAUAAUGUCAACCAUAAAACACACUCAAAACCUACAAAUAACAUAGUAGAGAUUACUAAAACACCAAAUUUGUGGGUUUGUGAUGUGUUUUGGAUGACAAGGCUCUAAUUAUCAAAUGACUAAUAUUAGUGUGGUUUAUUUUAAUUAUCAUGUUGUGUUUUGUAUUCAUAGUUGUACGAUGGUGUGUUUGAAGUUUUUAAGGACUAUUAAGGUUUGGAUAUUGUGUUUUAGUGAUCUUCACUAUGCUAUUUGUUGGUUGUGAGUGUGUUUUAUGGAUGAAAUUGUGGUGUUUUAUGACUUUGUACACUUUGUAGGAAAAAUGGACUUUGUAGCCGACCCUCACCCAUAUAUAUAUAUAUGAUCGUUCAUGAUUGAGAACUGCUCUUUCAUAUGAAAAUAUAGAUUCAAAAAACAGUCGUUUCAUCGCAUCUCUUUGUAUCUUUAAUUAUCAUAAAUAUUAAAGAGCAGCAAACAUAUCUUUGUUGAAGAAAUUCGUACACCAUCCUUUUAAAAAACAGAAAAGAACAAACAAGAAGAGGAGUAAUAUAUAGCUGGCAAGGUACAAUUCAUAGUACACAAGGUAUGGUCUCAAUUGCGUAUACUUCCUUUAAGGGGGCACAUCCUGACAUGGGCAGACAAAAGAUGUACUAGUGGUCCCCAUCCGAACGAUUUUCAAAAACCGAAAACCGAACUUUUGGUUGGUGGUACUUAUUCUCCUGAACUCAGCAGCAACAUCAUAAAACAUUAAUCCAUCCAGCAUCUCUAGCAGCAUUAUAAAUGCGCCUAUCAAUAAAAACAACAAUUUGUAAAACCAAUAUAUUCUAGAGCGGAAAAAAAAAGUGUAUCAAUCCACAUACCUAUCAUAUAUGGAUGAGAAACGAGUUCUACGAAUUUUGAGAUAAGGAUUCACUUCUCUACAGACUUCUGCAACUUCGUUAGCAAUAUAUUCCCCUUCAAUAUCGCAGUCUAGCCACAGAAUGAGUGUAACAGGCUCGGAUUCAUUGUGACUUAUGAUAUAAUGUGUUUUCAAGCUUCCAACACUCGGAUUCAUUGUGGAGCAAUGUGAAGAGAAAGAAUCAAGUUUGGAAGAUUAAGUGCACACAUAAAAUUGUUGAUGGCACCACAAAGUUUAGCAUGGAUGUGUCUGAUUCUCAAGAGGCGACAUCAAUUUAUAAUUCUUGUAUCCAAAACUCUCGUGCACGCGUCAAACCUACGUUGACGUUACGGAUAAUAGUAUAUUGAAUCCAAAACCUUUAACCACUUUUGAUCUUCUACGAUUAGCAUCGCUUCAUUUAGAGAUGAAUGAAUGUUGAACGGACUAUGCAGGUUGCACAAGAUCUUUACGAGGCUGGUUUCAUAAGCUAUCCCCGUACCAGGGACAAUGUUUGUGAAGUAGAAGAGUUCGAUAUAAAAGUGAGUAUAUUUUUCAUCAAAUUAAACCAUCAUUCAUUCUUUGUACGGUAGUGUUAUCGCUGUCAUCAAAGUCUUCGCCUAGGCUCUCUAAACGACCAUUCUGGGUAGUGCUAUCACUGUUGAAAUCUUACUUUUAUACAUUUUUUGAA